RNAcentral lists this ribosomal RNA (412 nucleotides) under uncultured bacterium. RNAcentral describes it as "bacterial SSU rRNA". It matches the Rfam family "Bacterial small subunit ribosomal RNA", at positions 28 to 414 of the family's 1533-position model. The record is from RNAcentral.
GAUGAACGCUGGCGGCGUGCYUAAUACAUGCAAGUCGAACGAAACUUCUUUAUCACCGAGUGCUUGCACUCACCGAUAAAGAGUUGAGUGGCGAACGGGUGAGUAACACGUGGGCAACCUGCCCAAAAGAGGGGGAUAACACUUGGAAACAGGUGCUAAUACCGCAUAACCAUAGUUACCGCAUGGUAACUAUGUAAAAGGUGGCUAUGCUACCGCUUUUGGAUGGGCCCGCGGCGCAUUAGCUAGUUGGUGGGGUAAAGGCUUACCAAGGCAAUGAUGCGUAGCCGAACUGAGAGGUUGAUCGGCCACAUUGGGACUGAGACACGGCCCAAACUCCUACGGGAGGCAGCAGUAGGGAAUCUUCCACAAUGGGCGAAAGCCUGAUGGAGCAACGCCGCGUGGGUGAAGAAGG